UAAGGAAUAUUGGACAAUGGGGGCAACCCUGAUCCAGCCAUGCCGCGUGAAGGAUGAAGGCCCUAUGGGUCGUAAACUUCUUUUACAGGGGACAAAUAUCCAGUUCGUGAACUGGAUUGAUGGUACUCUGAGAAUAAGGGUCGGCUAACUUCGUGCCAGCAGCCGCGGUAAUACGAAGGACCCGAGCGUUAUCCGGAUUUAUUGGGUUUAAAGGGUGCGUAGGCGGACAUGCAAGUCAGUGGUGAAAUCUCUCUGCUCAACAGAGAAACUGCCAUUGAAACUAUGUGUCUUGAGUACAUUUGAGGCGGGCGGAAUGUGUCAUGUAGAGGUGAAAUUCUUAGAUAUGACACAGAACACCAAUUGCGAAGGCAGCUCGCUAAACUGUAACUGACGCUGAGGCACGAAAGCGUGGGGAUCAAACAGGAUUAGAUACCCCUGUAGUCC
Molecule: ribosomal RNA, 444 nt
Filed under: uncultured bacterium
Lineage: Bacteria
Description: bacterial SSU rRNA
Rfam family: Bacterial small subunit ribosomal RNA
Source: RNAcentral